ACCUUUCUGAAGAGUUCCAAAUAGCACGAAACUUAAGUCCAGGGAU
Molecule: non-coding RNA, 46 nt
Organism: Schistosoma haematobium
Lineage: Eukaryota; Metazoa; Platyhelminthes; Trematoda; Strigeidida; Schistosomatidae
Source: Rfam